UAAAGCAUAAAUCAUUUUAAAGAAAUAUUUAAAAAUCAAAAUUCAAAAUAAAUGUAUUAUAAUAUAUUUAAAUAAUUAAUAUAUAAAUAUAUUGAAUAUUAUAGUAUAUGCUAAUCAAUUAUAUUUAAUACAUAUAUACAGUUGUUAUGAAUAAUAAUACUAAUUCUUUAUUAUGAAAUGAAAUAUGUAUAUAUAAAAAUAAAAGCCAAUUCAAAAUAUAAAUAAAUACUAUAAUAGCACAUAAAUAAUAUUAAAAUAACACUAAAUCUGUGUCACUUCUAAUCAGUGUCUCAAUGAUUAUAGUGAAUUAAUUUUUUUUUUACAGCUGGUUAAAUAUAUUAUGAAUUUACGCGUGACCUUUCCAACAUGAUUACGUAAUGUGUGGCGCAUCACAAAGUAGUGCAAGACGAGCAUUUGUGGUUAAAAAGUAUAUAAUUUUUUAUUUUUUUUAGAAAAUGGCCGAUGGUUUCUCUAGAUAAGACUCUUUUUCCUCGUCUGGGAUCGUGUAGAGCUCUUUGAAGCUGCACUGAAACUGACAUUUGGACCUUCAACCCGUUGAACCCCAGUGAAGUCCACUAUAUGGAGAAAAAUCCUGGAAUGUUUUCCUCAAAAACCUUCAUUUCUUUUCGACUGAAGAAAGAAAGACAUGAACAUCUUGGAUGACAUGGGGUCCGCAUCUGUCCUGCGGAGGGCGCUGUGCACGGCUGUCCUGAGACGCUCCAGAAAUCCAGUGACCUCAGGAUGUCUGGAUGGGAGACCAGGCUUAAGUGUCGCUCUCUCUUUCCGCAGUUCCUCCAAUUUCUUCCCAAAGCGCUCGGCUGAACACACAAACACUAUUUAGACUUGUCUUUCUUUGACGGAGUAAAGCUCAAGCCAAACACAAAUGUACACCUGUUUCCGGUCAAUUUAGGUCAAACUCAAUACAAAAACAUUAUAAAAAUGCUAAAUUCAUCCUGCGUCAAAAUAAAUAUUCAUAACAAACACAGACAGAUUUAUCGGCUAAUAUAUCGGUUAUCGGCUUUCAAAUAUAAAGAAUUAUCGGUUAUCAGCAUCGGCCAAGAUUUUCAUAUCGGUGCAUCUCUAAUUAUUUUAUGUUGCUUUAUAUUAUGUAUGAUAUGUAUGUACUUUGUACAGCACUUUGGUCAGCUUAGCCAUGUUUAGAAAUGCUAUAUAAAUAAAUUCUAUUUACUUGCUAUUUAAUUUUAAAAACAGCCAAAUACCAUCAUUUAAAUCGACGCUGCAGGAAAUGUCUGUGUUUGAGAGUAUAAGACAGCAUAAAACAAACACAACUGACCCACUUUACACACACACACACACACAGAGAGAUCAGGGUCUGGGAAAAGUCCAGUUAUGUAAGUCACAAGGUUUGUUGGGCUCUAAAGAGGGGAAAAAGGCUUCCAGCUGACAAAUGUAGGUCAAUCAUCUGAUCAAAUUGAAGAAGUAGUUUUACAAGAUCACAUGGUGAAGAUGUAGAGGGACUCUUUUGGGUAACUAAUGAAGUAAGAGAUAUAGAAAUUAAGACUAUUUUCUUUCCAUAAUAAAAUAAAACCAUACAAGUCAUGUCUCCAUGAAAAGCACACUGGUACUGCAUGAUGACCAGCAGAUGGCGCUGUUUGACAAUGAAUCACAGAACUGUCUGAAAGUUAUGGACUAUUAAUAAUGUACUACAUACUGUACAGUAAAUACAGUGUACUGUCUAAUACUGUUUAAAAAUAGCAUGUGAAACAGCACACAUGCAAGAUAAAGAUUUAUUUUCCCAGCAUUAAAGUCAAUCAUGAUUCAUGAGGGCCUAUUUCAUUAUAACUUUUAUUAUUACAUUAUAUACGAUUCAGAGUAAAAAAUAACAUAUUAAGCUUACACUGUAAGAAACAAAACAGAAAUAAAUGGUUAAAUCACAGUUAUUUGUGUGACAAUUAAUCGCAAGCACAAACUUCAUGUGACAGGCGUAAAUAUUCUUGCUCUCAAGUGAGCAAUCACAAGAUAAUGUGUUUGGUCUGGUUUGAGGUCAUCAUUGCUGAGUAUGGACAAUCAGCCGGGAGUGUUUGGGUGUGUUAACACGCCACAUAAAUGUGUUGAAACUGUUUUUGUCUUCUGUCAUCAGCUGUGGACUUAUUUGGACAUAAACUGGGCUGAAAUUCACAGAUACUUUAUGGAGUAGGAACAUCCUUUAAGAUUAAAAUGUGAAGCAAUGACAAGUUAUUUUUGAUGGUGCAUUAAAGGUGCAGUACACAAUUUCUGAGAA
Molecule: long non-coding RNA, 2242 nt
Organism: Ctenopharyngodon idella (grass carp)
Lineage: Eukaryota; Metazoa; Chordata; Actinopteri; Cypriniformes; Xenocyprididae
Exons: 2
Source: RefSeq, a predicted model, not a curated record